GGCUCCGUAGCUCAGGGGUUAGAGCACUGGUCUCGUAAACCAGGGGUCGUGAGUUCAAGUCUCGCCGGGGCCU
Molecule: transfer RNA, 73 nt
Filed under: Fukomys damarensis (Damara mole-rat)
Lineage: Eukaryota; Metazoa; Chordata; Mammalia; Rodentia; Bathyergidae
Rfam family: tRNA
About the family: Transfer RNA (tRNA) molecules are approximately 80 nucleotides in length. Their secondary structure includes four short double-helical elements and three loops (D, anti-codon, and T loops).
Source: Rfam by way of RNAcentral